GACGAACGCUGGCGGCGUGCUUAACACAUGCAAGUCGAACGGAAAGGCCCUGCUUUUGUGGGGUGCUCGAUUGGCGAACGGGUGAGUAACACGUGAGUAACCUGCCCUUGUCUUUGGGAUAACUUCAGGAAACUGGGCCUAAUACCGGAUAGGAGCUCCUGCUGCAUGGUGGGGGUUGGAAAGUUUCGGCGUUUGGGGAUGGACUCGCGGCUUAUCAGCUUGUUGGUGGGGUAGUGGCUUACCAAGGCUUUGACGGAUAGCCGGCCUGAGAGGUGGACCGGCCACAAUGGGACUGAGAGACGGCGCAGACGCCUACGGGAGGCAGAAGUGGGGAGUAUUGCACAAUGGGCGGAAGCCUGAGGCAGAAACGCCGGGUGCGGGAUGACGGCCUUCGGGUUGAAAACAGCUGUCGCCUGUGACGAAGAGUGAGUGACGGUAAUGGGUAAAGAAGCACCGGCUAACUACGUG
This 468-nucleotide ribosomal RNA is filed under the name uncultured bacterium. Its description in RNAcentral is "partial 16S ribosomal RNA". It matches the Rfam family "Bacterial small subunit ribosomal RNA", at positions 28 to 507 of the family's 1533-position model. The record is from RNAcentral.